CCCAGACUCCUACGGGAGGCAGCAGUGGGGGAUAUUGCACAAUGGGGGGAACCCUGAUGCAGCGACGCCGCGUGGGUGAAGGAGCGUUUCGGCGCGUAAAGCCCUAUCGGCAGGGAAGAAGGAGGACGGUACCUGACUAAGAAGCCCCGGCUAACUACGUGCCAGCAGCCGCGGUAAUACGUAGGGGGCAAGCGUUAUCCGGAUUUACUGGGUGUAAAGGGGGCGCAGACGGCAGCGCAAGCCAGGAGUGAAAGCCCGGGGCCCAACCCCGGGACUGCUCUUGGAACUGCGCGGCUGGAGUGCAGGAGGGGCAGGCGGAAUUCCUGGUGUAGCGGUGAAAUGCGUAGAUAUCAGGAGGAACACCGGUGGCGAAGGCGGCCUGCUGGACGGUGACUGACGCUGAGGCUCGAAAGCGUGGGGAGCAAACAGGAUUAGAUACCCCCGUA
Molecule: ribosomal RNA, 446 nt
Filed under: uncultured bacterium
Lineage: Bacteria
Description: partial 16S ribosomal RNA
Rfam family: Bacterial small subunit ribosomal RNA
Source: RNAcentral